UACGUAGGGGGCAAGCGUUGUCCGGAUUUAUUGGGCGUAAAGAGCGUGUAGGCGGCCUGGUAGGUCAGCUGUGAAAACUCGAGGCUCAACCUCGAGACGCCGGUUGAAACCAUCAGGCUAGAGUCCGGAAGAGGAGAGUGGAAUUCCCGGUGUAGCGGUGAAAUGCGCAGAUAUCAGGAGGAACACCAAUUGCGAAGGCAGCUCGCUGGGACGUUACUGACGCUGAGACGCGAAAGCGUGGGGAGCAAACAGG
Molecule: ribosomal RNA, 253 nt
Filed under: uncultured bacterium
Lineage: Bacteria
Description: partial 16S ribosomal RNA
Rfam family: Bacterial small subunit ribosomal RNA
Source: RNAcentral